Molecule: ribosomal RNA, 167 nt
Filed under: uncultured bacterium
Lineage: Bacteria
Description: partial 16S rRNA
Rfam family: Bacterial small subunit ribosomal RNA
Source: RNAcentral
GUAGGGAAUCUUCCAACAAUGGGACGAAAGCCUGAUGGAGCAACGCCGCGUGUGUGAUGAAGGGUUUCGGCUCGUAAAACACUGUUGUAAGAGAAGAAUGACAUUGAGAGUAACUGUUCAAUGUGUGACGGUAUCUUACCAGAAAGGAACGGCUAAAUACGUGCCAG